CCCUUUAUGCCACAGUGUAGGGUUUCGAGCCAGAGCAACCACAAAAAUCCUAUAAUAUUAAACACUUCACUUCCAUCUGAACUAUAGCAGUCAGCUUACCUAGCUACUGAGUAGUAGUGACAGUCCUCUCUCUCUUUUUUUAUUUUUCUUGGAAUGUCGUGUGAAUUAUUGGUGGUUUUACUUCAACCUUGACAUGUUGACAUCCCCCUUGAUAUCUUGGCCUCUGCUUUUUCAAUAUUUCUCGGCUUUUGGUCCUCUCCUCUUCCGCUUUCCCGACUCACAAAACUUUCCCUUCUUGUUUUUAGAUUAUUUUCAUGGCCUUCAUGUAUCUGCAUUUCUGCUCUUUUUUGAACUCUUUGGUAUUCCCCUAAAGUGAGUGUUAGUAUUAACUCCUCCCCCUCCUCCUUGUCCUUGUAUCAGUGAAAAUUGUGAGAUUCAUAUCUUUGGAUUCUGCUGUGGGUGGUAGUGGCCUUUGGAAAUUGGAUCUAAAAGACUGGUGGUUUUUGUCAUGUCCAACAGUCUAUUUCUCUGCCGCAAACAUUGUCAAUCAUGUCUCUGCCUCUUUUUAUUUAAGAUUCACAACUACAUUCUCACCCCCAAGAAUUGAAAAAAUAAAAUUAUGGGAUUUAUUCUAAGAAUAUUGAUUUCACACUUCAAUAUUUUUUACUCAUCUUUAUGUUUUUUAUUUUGAUUUAAUAUAUUUUAAUAUUAAAAAAAAAAGGUCGGAAAAUCACUUGUUUGCAUGUCAUCAAAGCAAACCAAGUCUUACCGAUGCGGCAAAUAUCAUGAUUGGAAAAUUAGGCUAAUAGUUCUAUUACAAUGAAAAGAAUCAUUGUGAACCUAGGAAGUGCAUAUAGCUUGAUCCCGCAAAGGCGCAAACUUCAUCAUUAGCAAAUUGAAUUGGCUUUGUGGGGGGCGUAAGGCUCCCACUAGCCAAAUAAGUUCUACUUGAGGAAAAAAAGAGAAUGGAAUAAUUAGCAAAUGGCGUGGAGGUUGGCCUCUAUUUAAUCACAAUUCCAUUCGUUUCUGGACCAAGAUGCCAUGAUUACAGCCAAUUUUCUGCUAAGCAGAUUCAAUAUAUAAACGAUAUGACAAUUGACAACUUAGCACUUCAUAUGUCAAUCUCUUGAUAACAAUAGUUCUAAUGCGGGGAGUGCAGACUUUAACUUUACAUCUUCUUCACAUGUCUUUUCGUAUGUGGUAAUACUAUGAUUCUUGAACUUUAUAUGUAUGUUGAUCUAUUUUGAUAAUAUAAAGAAAGUUGAAUUUUAAAACUAAUUGGCUAGAAAGAGUAACUCAACUCUUGAAUUUUUUUUAAAUAAUUCGAUCUACUUAGUAGCACUAUAAAUAAACCGUCAUAAUUGAAUUGAAGAACUAAUAUUCUUGCUCACUCGACAAUCUAAUAAAUAAUAAGCGAGAAUAUCCAACUUACCCCAACUCCACGUACUACUUUAAAUUCACGUCCUCGCAAUUGUGCUCCCUCACAAAUCGGUGAAAUCAGAAUAUGAUUAGUGAGAAAUUUUGUUGACUAGUAUUACUAUCAGAAGGUGGUGGUGGUGAUAACCAAUGAAUUUGAAGCUGCAAGCGCUUAGGGAUGCUCGUGUCGUGGGAUGAUCAAUGAUAUGGAUAUUGGGGGUCUCACUUACUUAUACGAGUCCUUGUCAUCCACACAUAGACCACUCUCUUGUAAGUUGGUGGUGGGUUUUAAUGUUUCCAUAAAAAUCAUAUCCUUCCAUUGAGUCAUAUUCAUGUCCCAUCACACCACGCCAUAACGUUGAAUCUUAAAAGCAUAUCUUAAUCUUGUAUAGAUGUAGAGAAAGGCUAACGGUUUUUCUAAAUGACUGAAAACGUUUUUAGUAAAAAUAUUUUUAAAAUCAAAUCUUUAAAAUAAAUGCAAAUAAAUUCUAGAAAAGCAAUUAAAGUGUUUUCUGAAAGAACUACAUUACUAACGCUUCUUGCAAAAAACAUGUAAGUGCUUUUAAAACUCAAAAAUAUUUUCUAAAAAACGAUUUUAGUAAUCUUAAAAGCAUUUCAAACCAACUCUAAAAUUCUAUCAAAAUGUUUACAAAUUUAUUUCCAAGCAUCAAGAUUGCAUUUCAAUAAUCAUCAUCAAUAAACAACAAAAGAGUUAGUGAGGCUAUUUAUGAGGUGGGACGGAAGGUAGAACAAACCUUUCAUAUGAAUACAUUUUUCACCCAACAAAAAUUAGAACAAAACCAAAGAAAGAACUUUACAGCUGAUUAAGAAUAGCUGAAAAUAUUUUCUUGCGAGACUUAUAUAUAUUGUUACAUUACAAAUAAAAACUACAUAUUAAGAUAAAAAAUAACAUUUUACAUUGCUAAAUAGUAUACUAAAAAAACAUUAUUGAUAAGCUAUAGCAUCUACCAUUAACAUCACUAACACACAGAGUGCGCGACUAAACCUAGCACUAAUCUCGUAUAAAGGGGCUACUAAUGCUUCGUCAUGAGUCCAGAUUCUCGCCGAAUUCUUUUUGUGAGGAUCUCGAAGAUCCGUGAAUUGUGUUUGUUCAUCGUACAUCGUGCUGUUAAAAAUUAUUUUAAAUAUUUUCAUCUAAAAAUAAAUAUAAACAGUACUUGACAAAAACUAACCGUAUAAUGUACAAUUCACAGAUCUCUAGAUUUCUCAAUAAAAGGAUACAGAGAUGAUCCUGUUUCGUCCUUACCUUAUACAACAACUUCAAGUUUGAAGUGGAAGUUCAUGAAAAGGGAGUAAUCCGAAGCUACCUGUGAUAUUGUACUAAUGAAAUAGACCUAGCAAGCUAGCUAGGUUCUUUCACCCAAAUAUAGGGUAUCAGAUGAACACGUAGUAUAAUAUAUGAAUUUUAAUGAUGAAAAUGAGAUCCCGUAUGGAAAGAGAUCUUUUCUGGACUCUUUCCUCCUAAUCAAUCAAAUUAAAAAAUUCAGAUCAUUAAAAUUUGAUUCAACGAUUAUAAAUAAGAGUUCAUUUUAAAAGUUAUAAUAACUUUAACUGUUGGAUCAAAUUUCAAUGAUCCAGAUCUUCUGAUUUGAUGGCUUAGGAGGAAAGGAUCUAGAGAGAAUCCCAUUCCAUCCCGUAUGUCCUCGACAAUCCAACUCAUCUCUUUUAUAGCGCGUUUACGUAACCGUAAUAAAAAUAUGAGGUAUUAAAUUAACGAGGAAUUAAAUUGAGGAGAAGUUGAAAUGAGGAGAAAUCAAAAUCAAAUUAUUGUUGAAGAUGUUUACUUAAAUGUUAUGAAAUCAAACUAGAAAUAAUACUGAUUCCAUAAAACUAUUUACUAAUUCAACAAAAUCAAAAUAUAAACCAGUAUGAUUACUAAAAUACCCUUGUCCCAAAUCAAAUAUUUUAAUACUUUUUUUUAAUAAAUUUUGAUAUAAUAUAUAAUGGUAA
Molecule: long non-coding RNA, 3387 nt
Filed under: Malus domestica (apple)
Lineage: Eukaryota; Viridiplantae; Streptophyta; Magnoliopsida; Rosales; Rosaceae
Description: long non-coding RNA (MDOM_LNC012072)
Source: RNAcentral